GGUUAUGUCGUUUAAAUAGGAUAUUAAAUUGCAAGUUUAAAGGUAGAUUUAUUGUUUCUUAUAACCU
This 67-nucleotide transfer RNA is filed under the name Trigonopterus sp. 2 AH-2016. Its description in RNAcentral is "tRNA-Cys". Lineage: Eukaryota; Metazoa; Arthropoda; Insecta; Coleoptera; Curculionidae. The record is from RNAcentral.